This 75-nucleotide transfer RNA is filed under the name Planctomycetota bacterium. RNAcentral's name for it is "Planctomycetes bacterium (bioreactor metagenome) tRNA-Gly". It matches the Rfam family "tRNA". From Rfam's summary of the family: Transfer RNA (tRNA) molecules are approximately 80 nucleotides in length. Their secondary structure includes four short double-helical elements and three loops (D, anti-codon, and T loops). Further hydrogen bonds mediate the characteristic L-shaped molecular structure. tRNAs have two regions of fundamental functional importance: the anti-codon, which is responsible for specific mRNA codon recognition, and the 3' end, to which the tRNAs corresponding amino acid is attached (by aminoacyl-tRNA synthetases). tRNAs cope with the degeneracy of the genetic code in two manners: having more than one tRNA (with a specific anti-codon) for a particular amino acid; and 'wobble' base-pairing, i.e. permitting non-standard base-pairing at the 3rd anti-codon position. The record is from RNAcentral. Lineage: Bacteria; Pseudomonadati; Planctomycetota.
GCGGGUGUAGUUCAGCGGUAGAACGUCAGCUUCCCAAGCUGAAUGUCGUCGGUUCGAUCCCGAUCACCCGCUCCA